Monomorium pharaonis (pharaoh ant) is the source of this 2487-nucleotide RNA transcript. RefSeq lists it as uncharacterized. The transcript is spliced from 3 exons. NCBI's taxonomy places the organism in Eukaryota, Metazoa, Arthropoda, Insecta, Hymenoptera, Formicidae. The record is from RefSeq and is a predicted model, not a curated record.
CAACAGUCGUUAAAAUCGGACGAUAUUGACAUGUUCAAAGUUAAUUUUAUGGCCAUAUUUAAAGCGAUUGCUUUUAAGUCGUCAGGACAAAUGGUAAAAAUGUGGCCGGACAGUUCUGUUUUAAUAGUUAUGUACGCGUUCAUCUUUCUGGUACAUUCUUUGCCGUUAAAUAUUGAUUGGAAUACUUUACAUCAUAAUCCAGAUCCGAUUGUUCAAAACGAGAGGAUUUUGAACCUUUAUUUACAAUUAGCGACGCAUACGGCGAUUCGUUUAACGUAUUUGAGAAAGGAAAUCAAAAGAUAUGAUUGUAAUAAACACAAUGACAAUUCAUCAGUUUCAACAGAAAUCCCUGUAACGCAAUUGCCAUCUCAAGAGAAUCCAGAAUGGUUUGACGAAAGCCAAAAGGUCUUGAUUCAUUCGUCUUCCAAUGAUUCUGACGUAAAUGCGGAUCAAAAUCAAACGACUCUGCAAAUACAACAGUUGUCUGACUUAAAUAAUCUUCAAGAUAUCAAAAAUCAAAAUGUUACAUAUGAUCCAAUGAUGAGCGAUUUAAUUCCAAAAUCUAUACAAAAUGUCCAAGACACUUUGUCCGAUAUUGCCGGACACAAUCGCGAAGCGUUUAAUUCUGACAGUUUGCAAAAAUCAAUUCUCAAUUUAGAUGCAGCAAACAAGUCACAAAGCGCGGGUGAGAUUGAAUUAGAUUCUUCAAAAUCAGCGAGAAAUGAUGUCAAUAAAGAAUUAUUUAAUCAGAUCGAUCUCAUAAAGAACGUCACGAAUAAUACGUCGAUGAAUAAUUCAACUGUAAAUAAGUUACUUCCGAACUCGCAAGAUUUGCAGGAACCGACACUUGAAAUAAGUCCACGAUUAUUCGGCGCGGAUCUAGCACAAAUUGUUCCAAAAAUUAUUAACGACGCACAUGAAGAUGCAAAGCAGUAUCUCUCGCCGCAAAAUACACGCGAACUAUUGGAUAAGAUCGACGAUGUAGGUCAAAAGUUUUCCAAUACAAUUAAAACCCCCGGAAACGUUUUAAAUUCGCUCAUUGCAAAUAAUUUAUCCGCAGCGAAUCAGGUUUUAUCGAGUGCAAAAAAUGUGGAGUCGAUGAUUAAAGUUCUACCAGAGGCUGCGAAGGGCGCGGCUAACCUACUGAAUCAAAUUAUUCCGAAAUCUCGGGAGAUUAUUAACACGCCGUUAAAAGUCGCGGAGGAAGGUCAGCAAUUUUUCACGCGUCACGACUAUACUCAACAGGAGCAAAAUAAAAACCUUAAACAAACGGAAAAUCAAUCUGAUAAUCAGUUGCAUGAUCGACAAGAUUUAACAGGCGGAUCGGGGGAUAACAUUCGUGAGACAGAUGCAUCUGAAAGGGAUAAUCAAGAAAUAAAGAUUAGUAAUUUGACGGAUAACAAUAGGCAAGAUGUAUCCACAUCGUUAAGUGAUUCUUUUGUUCCAUUGGCUAGAUCUUUCCCGGAUUUUAAUGGAGAGAAGACUAAUGAAAAAAUUAAAACUGAUCUUUCCUCCGUUCAGACAAAUGAAAACUCUUAUAAUUUUACCGAAAAUCAAUCGUUGAAUCAUGAAACAGAUCAACUACUAGAUCAGAUUGAUGGAGAAAUACAAAUCGAAGAAUUUAAGAACAUAAACGGGACAGAAACGGAUUACGAUGAUGGGCAAUUAAAUCCAAUUUUGGAAGAUUUAUCUCAGAGAAGCACAGAAAGUGGAUCGACAAAUGUUGCGACAUCAACAUCUCCUAUUCUAUUAGAAUCUAGUACGUUGGUUUCAAUUACGGAACGUCAAGCUAACAAUUCGAGCGACGCACAAGAUUUUGAAAAUCCGGGUGACAUUACAAAAAUUAAUACGGAAGAAACGAGAAGACUUGUAAAUAUUCCAUCUAAUGACGAGAUAAAUCAGUCGACUGGAAGUAAGAUUACUCACGACGAUGAAAUAUUGAAAUUGAACGGUCGUUCUCUUAUAGACGAUUUGACAGGCAUAUCCAUAUAUUCGCAUGAGCAGCUAUCCGAAUCAAAAUUGCAGGAGAUCAGCGAUCGACUGAUCAAUGCGCUUCGACCUUACAUAGAAGAGAGAAUGGACAAUAAUUCGACUAAUGAAUAUAGUAAAGUAUAAGACAAAAACGGAAAGCCAUUGAAUAUAUUAUUUGAUUCUAUGAUGCAAGUCUAUAAGCAAAAUUCAAAUUACACAAAAAAUUACAAUUAAUUUGAAGAUGCAACUUUACACUUUCAAGAGGAUGAUAGACGAAGAAAAGAAGCUAUUAAUAAAAAAAAAAUAAUUAUUACAUAUUAUGCUUUUCUGUUAGAUAUGUAUUAAAAUUCUAUAAGUGUUAAAGAAUUUUUUAUUAAUCCUACAGAUUAAUAAAAAAAUAAGGAAGUUUUAUUAUACAUAAGAAAGAAAUAAACAAAAAUAAAGAUUAUAGACAGAGACCGAUAAACGUGAGAUAGACGUGUGUAAAAAGAGUAUAAAAAUAGAAAUUCUAUUCAU